This 480-nucleotide ribosomal RNA is filed under the name uncultured Geobacter sp. RNAcentral's name for it is "bacterial SSU rRNA". It matches the Rfam family "Bacterial small subunit ribosomal RNA", at positions 40 to 495 of the family's 1533-position model. The record is from RNAcentral. Lineage: Bacteria; Pseudomonadati; Thermodesulfobacteriota; Desulfuromonadia; Geobacterales; Geobacteraceae.
GGGGGUGCCCUAAACCAUGCCAAGUCGGAGAGAAAGGGGUUUCGGCCCCGAGUAAAGUGGCGCACGGGUGAGUAACACGUAGGUAACCUGCCUUUAAGAUUGGGAUAACAUGUCGAAAGACGUGCUAAUACCGGAUAAGACCACGGUUUCUUGGGGGACUGGGGUCAAAGAUAGCCUCUAUUUAUAAGCUAUCGCUUAGAGAUGGGCCUGCGUACCAUUAGCUAGUUGGUAGGGUAACGGCCUACCAAGGCAAAGAUGGUUAGCUGGUCUGAGAGGAUGAUCAGCCACACUGGAACUGAGACACGGUCCAGACUCCUACGGGAGGCAGCAGUGGGGAAUAUUGCGCAAUGGGCGAAAGCCUGACGCAGCAACGCCGCGUGAGUGAUGAAGGCCUUCGGGUCGUAAAGCUCUGUCGGAGGGAACGAAUGCUCUUGGGGUUAACAGCCUUAGGAGGUGACGGUACCCUCAAAGGAAGCACCG